UUGUUUUUCUCAGCUUUUGCUAUCAUAAAUAAUGCCGCAGUGAAGAUGUUCAUACAUAGAAAUCCUUCUCCCAAAGCAGUGUUUUGUAGGAGAAGAAACGGGAUUGGAAUCAGACUGCAUUUGAAUGCAGAUUCUCCCUUAUAAUAAUGGUGCCAUAUCAGGCUGGCAUAUUUCAUUAAAAGCGUGGGAACCCUCAGUGACCCUGGGUACUCACUUGACGUUGAGAGUUGAGCCGUGUGUUUGUUACCUUCAGGGACAAUGUGUUUGCGGUUCCUGGGGUGAGAGAAUGUGGCCUGGUCAGAGGAGAUCACCUUGCAAAGCAGUUACGGAAAGCCUCCUAUGUUUUCUUUGAGGUGUUGCAGAUAGAGCAGUGAUCAAAGCAGUCUGAGCCUUUGCUUUUGUGGAGCUGACAUUUUGUUAGGGGAUUUUUCUGGGAAAAAGCAUCACCAGCCUCUCCAAACCCGCCCCUGACACCCAGUAAACACUUGCUUCUCUUGGGGACAAAAGCAAUGCAUGACAAAAUGGAGUAAAGCUCUCCUGCUCUCCACAUGAUCAGAUCUGAACAUCAGCCCUAUUGAAAUGGAGCCCAUCCUACUCCAGUGUGACCUCACUUUAGCUUGACUGCAAUGACUGAUCUGCAAUGACCUUAUUUCCAAAUAGGAUCAUUCUGAGGUAUGGCUCUACCAUCAGGUGCCUCCGUUGUAGCAUGUGCGCUGCAUUAAAAAGCAACCUGAGCAGACAAAGGGGACUGCUGCCUUCUACAGGCACCUAGGACAGCCUCUGCCUGAGCAUUGAUGCUUCAUAAAUAUUGGUUGAAUUAACAAAUAAAUGGAGGAGGAGGAUGGCGGAAUAGGAACAGCUCCAGUCUACAGCU
Molecule: long non-coding RNA, 874 nt
Filed under: Homo sapiens (human)
Lineage: Eukaryota; Metazoa; Chordata; Mammalia; Primates; Hominidae
Description: HSALNT0389405
Source: RNAcentral